GACGAACGCUGGCGGCGUGCUUAACACAUGCAAGUCGAACGGAAAGGCCCUGCUUUUGUGCUGUGCUCGAGUGGCGAACGGGUGAGUAACACGUGUGUAACCUGCCCUUGACUUUGGGAUAACUUCAGGAAACUGGGGCUAAUACCGUAUCGGAUCUCCUGCUGCAUGGUGGGGGUUGGAAAUUUUCGGCGGUUGGGGAUGGACUCGCGGCUUAUCAGCUUGUUGGUGGGGUAGUGGCUUACCAAGGCUUUGACGGGUACCCGGCCUGGGAGGGUGACCGGCCACAUUGGGACUGAGAUACGGCCCAGACUCCUACGGGAGGCAGCAGUGGGGAAUAUUGCACAAUGGGCGGAAGCCUGAUGCAGCAACGCCGCGUGCGGGAUGACGGCCUUCGGGUUGUAAACCGCUUUCGCCUGUGACGAAGCGUGAGUGACGGUAAUGGGUAAAGAAGCACCGGCUAACUACGUG
Molecule: ribosomal RNA, 468 nt
Filed under: uncultured bacterium
Lineage: Bacteria
Description: partial 16S ribosomal RNA
Rfam family: Bacterial small subunit ribosomal RNA
Source: RNAcentral